AACUCUGAAACAUCCAUUACAAAAACACAUUACAUCACUCACAAACCUGGAUUCAGUCACUGCAAUUCAUAUCUAUUUUACUGUCAAAAAUACUGACUAUGAUCAAUGAUUAAUUGUGAACAUUCAAAAGUUUUCAAAUGUGCAGGUUACUGUUAGAAUACAGUCACUACACAAUUUUUGAUCAGGAAAAAGUUACGAUGAUUGCAACUUAAAUACCGAAGCCAUUUGUUAUGAGAAUACGCCGUUACCACAAAUAAUCCACAUAGAUGCAUUGAAAGAAACUUUACUGAGUAACAUAAUGCAUCAGAAUACUAUAGGCACAAAGAAUGAAAUUUCUGUAGAUUUACCAUACAUUUUACUUUUCUUGCGCAUGAUAAGAUUACUAACGGAAGUUACUUACCGUCCAUUGUCUGGAAUAUAAACUAUCUCUUCUCGUCUGCAAACACGUGCUUUUGCAGCAAGUAUUAUCAAUUUUUUUCCGUGAUUGAAAAGCUUUAACGCACACAAAUCCCGCCAUCAUAUACAAAUCCACAAGGCAUCAGCAUGCCAUGUUCAAAGAAUAUCCGCGUUUCGAAAACUACCAGAGAUAUUGGCUUGCAUGAGAGACGACGUCAUGCCAUGAUAUGACGUCAUGAUUCCUCGGGGCCCGCGAGACGCUUCUUAUUAUGGGAGGAUGCGAAGUUCACCGGACUUGGGUUUGAUGUGACGUCAGUAUGACGUAUACAUGCUACAUCGAAAACGAUAGAAACCUUAUAUCGACUAUUCGACUUUUGUGAACUUUCGAGAGGUUGUGACAGGGGUAGCGAUGUGGUCUGCGCCAUUCGUUUAAAUGUGUUUUUCGUUCCUUGCUUUUAAAUCGUGUAUUGUACUGUGUUUGUGUCCUGUGCGUUGUUUUUCGUUUGCUCGUCUCUAAUUAUGUGUUUAGCAUUCGAGAGACUAAUGAGAGAAAAGCUGACAGAGUUCAGCAUCGAUGACGACGGGCAAUUGCGUGGUUAUUGUGAAUCUCAAGCAGAAAUUGAAGUACAUAUUCAUAGUUUUGCCCAGUUUUCCAACCACUUAUUUAGAAACAAUUUAUUUCUGAUUUUGCAGGUUGUCCAAAAUUUUUCUUCAGACUUAAGAGUGGGAGUGUGGAUAUCCGAUUUUUCAGAUAUCCUUUCUCAGUGGAAAAUGGAAGUCACCAGGAAUGUAUUCUUGGCCCUAAGUACUACAAAGAAAUGAAAGGGGUUCCUGUUCCAGAUCACCUGGCUGACCGUACGACCCCCAGGAAGAGACUCUGUGUUAUGGACACAAAGAAAAGUGGUUGCCCAGCUACAUUCUCUGUUAAAUGUAUCCGGGUAUACCCUGGAUAUUCAAUUGAGUCAGUAUACCCUGGAUAUUCAAUUGAGACAGAGGGGGCUCAUCCUAAUAUUAAGAAAGAGGUAUGGAGUUAAUGAAGAAUCCACAGGGCUUUAAUCAAUAGAAAAAGUGCUAAAGCAACUGGAAACAUAUAAAUGUUAUCAUUAUCAACAGAAAUUAAACUUUUUUUAACUUAUUGAGAAGCAGACCAGAUCAUAUACCCCCUCUUGUUCUUUCAGGAAUGUGCUGCUUCUUUUGUGAUUUCUGCUGGUAUCCUGUAAGCCAUGUGUUGCAGUGCUAGAUUUUGUACUGUAACUGCUUUAUGUGCCAAUUUGUGAAAUCCCCAUUCUGAGAAAUGGAAAAUGGGACAGAAGUUCUUGCAUGAAUAUUUGAACUUUCGAUAAUCUGGACAAGAUCAGGUUUUUCAAAGUUUACCAUACAAUGAGUCUUCAGUUCCUGCACAUUUUACAUGAAACAAUCCCGUAGUUACCAUCGUUACUGAUACUGCACUAAAAUCAACAGAAUUUAAUUUAAAAUACCUGGGAGGUAACUAUGGACUAAAACUGUAAUAAAACCUGUUAUGUUACAUUUGUACUUUGCUGAAGGUGUGAAUAUUUCACCAACCUGUUCAUUUCUUCAGCACCAUUUGUUGUGCUUAUACUGGCAAACAUGUCUGUGUACUUAAAAGCUUUUACCCAUCUAUAAUGCCCUGGAUCCCACAGCUUUUCAAAGUAAUGUAAUGCAGACUCCUUCCCUUCAAAAACACUAUGAAUUCUCGUCUUUCCUAAAUUAACUGCCCUCCACAGUUUAACAACUAUGUCUUUCUUGUUCUUUUGCAUGUUUUCAUAACCACAUCCUUCAAGCCAGCCAGCCUACCCCCCCCCCCCCCUCCCUCCCCCAGGGGGCCUGCAGCACUUUUGUGGGCACAUGUGUGGUGUCCUUUCGUCUAUUAAACUAACCAACCUCCCUGUGAAAUAAACAUAGAUACACUUUAAAGAUGGGAAGUACUCCCUGAAUUGCAUUUAUCUCGGACUCUGAGAAAUUGGUAACCCAGUAUGCAGGAUUUAUGUCUGUAUUCUAUUCCUUGUAAAAAUAUUUAAUGCUUUACAAAUUUAUCUUGUGUCUUCUAUCUGAAGAUAAAAAUCCUACCUCUAAAUAGCACACUUAUGCUUCCACUGUUAUAAAGAACAGUGGAAUGUCCUACUUUGUGGCUUUGUCGCAUCAAGCAAGCAUACUGUUCCAUACUUA
Schistocerca serialis cubense is the source of this 2583-nucleotide long non-coding RNA. RefSeq lists it as uncharacterized. The record is from RefSeq and is a predicted model, not a curated record. NCBI's taxonomy places the organism in Eukaryota, Metazoa, Arthropoda, Insecta, Orthoptera, Acrididae. The transcript is spliced from 3 exons.